Mustela putorius furo (domestic ferret) is the source of this 69-nucleotide small nucleolar RNA. Its record names the gene SNORD25. It matches the Rfam family "Small nucleolar RNA SNORD25". From Rfam's summary of the family: U25 is a member of the C/D class of snoRNA which contain the C (UGAUGA) and D (CUGA) box motifs. U25 is found in gene clusters in plants, and within the U22 snoRNA host gene (UHG) in mammals. Lineage: Eukaryota; Metazoa; Chordata; Mammalia; Carnivora; Mustelidae. The record is from Ensembl.
CUCUCUGUGAUGAGAACCUUUUCACAGACCUGUACUGAGCUCCGUGAGGAAAAGACUCUCUGAGGAGAC